This 454-nucleotide ribosomal RNA is filed under the name uncultured bacterium. RNAcentral describes it as "partial 16S ribosomal RNA". It matches the Rfam family "Bacterial small subunit ribosomal RNA", at positions 28 to 507 of the family's 1533-position model. The record is from RNAcentral.
GAUGAACGCUGACAGAAUGCUUAACACAUGCAAGUCAACUUGAACUUCGGUUUGGGUGGCGGACGGGUGAGUAACGCGUACAGAACUUGCCUCACAGAUAGGGACAACAUUUGGAAACGAAUGCUAAUACCUGAUAUUAUGAUUAUAUGGCAUCGUAUAAUUAUGAAAGCUAUAUGCGCUGUGAGAGAGCUUUGCGUCCCAUUAGCUAGUUGGAGAGGUAACGGCUCACCAAGGCGAUGAUGGGUAGCCGGCCUGAGAGGGUGAUCGGCCACAAGGGGAGUGGGACACGGCCCUUACUCCUACGGGAGGCAGGAGUGGGGAAUAUUGGAAAAUGGACCAAGAGUCUGAUGAAGGAAUUCUGUGUGCAAGAUGAAGUUUUUCGGAAUGUAAAGUGCUUUCAGUUGGGAAGAAAAAAAUGACGGUACCAACAGAAGAAGUGACGGCUAAAUACGUG